Molecule: transfer RNA, 84 nt
Filed under: Candidatus Woesearchaeota archaeon
Lineage: Archaea; Nanobdellati; Candidatus Woesearchaeota
Description: tRNA-Ser
Rfam family: tRNA
About the family: Transfer RNA (tRNA) molecules are approximately 80 nucleotides in length. Their secondary structure includes four short double-helical elements and three loops (D, anti-codon, and T loops).
Source: RNAcentral
GCCAACGUGGCACAAUCUGGUACUGCGCAAGCCUGGAAAGCUUGUUUCCUCCGGGAUAUCCCGGUUCAAAUCCGGGCGUUGGCG